Molecule: ribosomal RNA, 1509 nt
Filed under: metagenome
Description: bacterial LSU rRNA
Rfam family: Bacterial large subunit ribosomal RNA
Source: RNAcentral
UUAGAUCAGAAGCGAGAAUGUUGACAUGAGUAGCGACAAACAGGGUGAGAAACCCUGUCGCCGAAAGUCCAAGGGUUCCUGCUUAAAGCUAAUCUGAGCAGGGUAAGCCGGCCCCUAAGGCGAGGCCGAAAGGCGUAGUCGAUGGGAACCAGGUUAAUAUUCCUGGGCCAGUGGGAUGUGACGGAUCGCAGAUGUAGUUUGCCCUUAUCGGAUUGGGUGGGCUGCUGAGCGGUUCCAGGAAAUAGCCCCACAUCAGACCGUACCCUAAACCGACACAGGUGGACUGGUAGAGUAUACCAAGGCGCUUGAGAGAACCACGUUAAAGGAACUCGGCAAAAUGCCUCCGUAAGUUCGCGAGAAGGAGGCCCCAUAUGUACGCAAGUAUGUGUGGGGGGCACAAACUAGGGGGUGGCGACUGUUUACUUAAAACACAGGGCUGCGCGAAGCCGUAAGGCGACGUAUACAGUCUGACGCCUGCCCGGUGCUGGAAGAUUAAGAGGAGGGGUGCAAGCUCUGAAUUGAAGUCCCAGUAAACGGCGGCCGUAACGAUAACGGUCCUAAGGUAGCGAAAUUCCUUGUCGGGUAAGUUCCGACCUGCACGAAUGGCGUAACGAUCUCCCCGCUGUCUCUAACGUGGACUCAGCGAAAUUGAACUGUGUGUCAAGAUGCACACUACCCGCGGUUAGACGGAAAGACCCCAUGAACCUUUACUCCAGCUUUGCACUGGUAUCAGGAUUGUGAUGUGCAGGAUAGGUGGUAGGCAUUGAAGCGGGGACGCCAGUCUUCGUGGAGCCUCCCUUGAGAUACCACCCUUCGCCAUCUUGAUAUCUAACCGCGGCCCGUUAUCCGGGUCCGGGACCCUGCAUGGUGGGGAGUUUGACUGGGGCGGUCGCCUCCCAAACAGUAACGGAGGCGCGCGAUGGUUGGCUCAGACCGGUCGGAAAUCGGUCGUUGAGUGCAAUGGCAGAAGCCAGCCUGACUGCAAGACUGACAAGUCGAGCAGAGACGAAAGUCGGUCAUAGUGAUCCGGUGGUCCCAAGUGGGAGGGCCAUCGCUCAACGGAUAAAAGGUACUCUGGGGAUAACAGGCUGAUGAUGCCCAAGAGUCCAUAUCGACGGCAUCGUUUGGCACCUCGAUGUGGGCUCAUCUCAUCCUGGGGCUGGAGCAGGUCCCAAGGGUAUGGCUGUUCGCCAUUUAAAGAGGUACGUGAGCUGGGUUUAGAACGUCGUGAGACAGUUCGGUCCCUAUCUGCCGUGGGUGCAGGAGACUUGAGAAGAGUUGACCCUAGUACGAGAGGACCGGGUUGAACGAACCACUGGUGGACCAGUUAUCGUGCCAACGGUAGUGCUGGGUAGCUAUGUUCGGACAGGAUAACCGCUGAAGGCAUCUAAGCGGGAAGCCCCCUUCAAAACAAGGUCUCCCUUGAGGGCCGUGGAAGACGACCACGUCGAUAGGCCAGAGGUGUAAGUGCAGCAAUGCAUUCAGCUGACUGGUACUAAUUGCUCAAAA